RNAcentral lists this ribosomal RNA (516 nucleotides) under Lactiplantibacillus plantarum. RNAcentral describes it as "bacterial SSU rRNA". It matches the Rfam family "Bacterial small subunit ribosomal RNA", at positions 70 to 574 of the family's 1533-position model. Lineage: Bacteria; Bacillati; Bacillota; Bacilli; Lactobacillales; Lactobacillaceae. The record is from RNAcentral.
CAUCAUGAUUUACAUUUGAGUGAGUGGCGAACUGGUGAGUAACACGUGGGAAACCUGCCCAGAAGCGGGGGAUAACACCUGGAAACAGAUGCUAAUACCGCAUAACAACUUGGACCGCAUGGUCCGAGUUUGAAAGAUGGCUUCGGCUAUCACUUUUGGAUGGUCCCGCGGCGUAUUAGCUAGAUGGUGGGGUAACGGCUCACCAUGGCAAUGAUACGUAGCCGACCUGAGAGGGUAAUCGGCCACAUUGGGACUGAGACACGGCCCAAACUCCUACGGGAGGCAGCAGUAGGGAAUCUUCCACAAUGGACGAAAGUCUGAUGGAGCAACGCCGCGUGAGUGAAGAAGGGUUUCGGCUCGUAAAACUCUGUUGUUAAAGAAGAACAUAUCUGAGAGUAACUGUUCAGGUAUUGACGGUAUUUAACCAGAAAGCCACGGCUAACUACGUGCCAGCAGCCGCGGUAAUACGUAGGUGGCAAGCGUUGUCCGGAUUUAUUGGGCGUAAAGCGAGCGCAG